This 379-nucleotide ribosomal RNA is filed under the name uncultured eukaryote. Its description in RNAcentral is "partial 18S ribosomal RNA". It matches the Rfam family "Eukaryotic small subunit ribosomal RNA", at positions 592 to 976 of the family's 1831-position model. The record is from RNAcentral.
CAAUAGCGUAUAUUAAAGUUGUUGCGGUUAAAAAGCUCGUAGUUGGAUUUCUGUUGAGGUCGGCCGGUCCCUACUUCGUAGGCGUAUCUGGUUCAGCCUUGGCAUCCCCCUAGGGAACGGCACUGCUCUUAACUGAGUGGUCCGGUAUCUAGGACUUUUACUUUGAGGAAAUUAGAGUGUUUACGGCAGGCAAUCGCCUUGAAUAUGUUAGCAUGGAAUAAUAAUAUAGGACCUUGGUUCUAUUUUGUUGGUUUCUAGGACUAAGGUAAUGAUUAAUAGGGAUAUUUGGGGGCAUUCGUAUUAACCUGUCAGAGUGGAAUUCUUGGAUUCGGUUACGACGAACUACUGCGAAAGCAUUUGCCAAGGAUGUUUUCAUUGA